RNAcentral lists this ribosomal RNA (477 nucleotides) under uncultured bacterium. RNAcentral describes it as "partial 16S ribosomal RNA". It matches the Rfam family "Bacterial small subunit ribosomal RNA", at positions 28 to 507 of the family's 1533-position model. The record is from RNAcentral.
GAUGAACGCUGGCGGCGUGCCUAACACAUGCAAGUCGAACGAAGCACCUUACCUGAUUCUUCGGAUGAAAGUUUGGUGACUGAGUGGCGGACGGGUGAGUAACACGUGGGUAACCUGCCCUGUACAGGGGGAUAACAGCUGGAAACGGCUGCUAAUACCGCAUAAGCGCACGAGGAGACAUCUCCUUGUGUGAAAAACUCCGGUGGUACAGGAUGGGCCCGCGUCUGAUUAGCUGGUUGGCAGGGUAACGGCCUACCAAGGCAACGAUCAGUAGCCGGUCUGAGAGGAUGAACGGCCACAUUGGAACUGAGACACGGUCCAAACUCCUACGGGAGGCAGCAGUGGGGAAUAUUGCACAAUGGGGGAAACCCUGAUGCAGCAACGCCGCGUGAGUGAAGAAGUAUUUCGGUAUGUAAAGCUCUAUCAGCAGGGAAGAUAAUGACGGUACCUGACUAAGAAGCUCCGGCUAAAUACGUG